Long non-coding RNA from Columba livia (rock pigeon), 16149 nucleotides. RefSeq lists it as uncharacterized. NCBI's taxonomy places the organism in Eukaryota, Metazoa, Chordata, Aves, Columbiformes, Columbidae. The transcript is spliced from 2 exons. The record is from RefSeq and is a predicted model, not a curated record.
UUAUUCUGAAAAUACUGUACUUAUGUGAAAUUUUAAUAUGGAAUCUUUGUUUCACCAGGUAAUGUUGGCUUACGUGCAACAAACCGCUGUAUGGAAGAUGCUAGAAGGAUUGGUUGUGCUAUUUCUUUUUGCCUGAGCCCCUGAUAGGCAUUGUAGCUAUUUUGUUCCCAGAACUAGUUAACACAGAAGCUUAACCUACACUGAUGUCUAGCUGACAGAUGCUUCUAUACUGUAUGAGAGCGGUUUGGUUUUCAUAAGCUUUUCAAGAGCACGGUGGGAAUUCUUGCAUGCUAGGUACGCUCAGGGAGAAUUUGGAGCUUGUUGCUAAGAUUCCUGAAAGUGAAAAAUACCUAUUUACAGAUAAAUCUGGUCCUUUCAACUCUUGGUUUCCUUUUUCCACUGAUGAGCACUGUACUGUUUCCCAGGCUUAGACACGUAGUGAAUAUUUCACAGAUCCUUCAUCCAAGCAUCUGUAAAGACAUCCCACAGUACCCAGUGUAUGCCGCAGUCCUGUGGUAGUUUCGCAGUGAACGAUCAGUCCCAGGUGAAGCUGGCGCUGCACUUCACAACCCUUUGUACUACUGACAUGUGACUAUUGAUUGACAUUUUCUACAAAAAAAAAGUUGAAUAGGAAUCCAAUUUCUAACUGAAUACCAAUUGCGUAGCUAUAUAACUUGGCACAUUUAAGCACUGUAGCCUCUCUUCCUGGUAUGCAGAGAUUUAAAAGCUUGAAAAUGUUUUUUCAUAUUGAGCUAAAGAGUGAAAGCAACAUGGCUCAGACCAGCCAGUGGGUUGCGACAAAGAUGCGAUAUACAGAUGAACAAAGCAAACCAGAUCCCUGACUAAAUCAUGCACUCUGUGCUAAGUCAGUAUGAGGUUCAGAUGAUUAUAUAAGGCAUCUGUGUUCAGACCCUAUGGCAAAGGAAAGCUGGCAUAAUUAUAGUAAUACUUGUAAUUUUCCACUUGAUGCCUACGUGAUCUGGCGAUGCAAAAAAUGGUGAAUUGUGUCCAUACUGUUUGAAAACAACCAGGAGCUGGCAGAAUAUCAUGAAAUUUACUAUUUGGUUUUGGAUUUACUUGUUUUUUUCUUCCUUCAUUGUGUUCCUUUCCAUCCUCCUCCUUUAGCUUGUUAUUUAGUUUAAAGGAAAUGGCCACUCGUGGUUGUGUUACUGAUAAAGAAGUGACCCCGUCCAAGCUUCCUGCUAAGCCGGCAUCCCUUCCUCCACCCGCCAUAAAGCACAUUCUAGCAUUACAGAUGGAAGAUAAUGUUCUACACCAGUUCUGCUGUCCGCCUUCGGGGUCUAGUAGUCCAUCUUCAAGAUAACAGCGAAGCUCGGGGGCGCUCAGUGUGCAGUCAGUGCUACAUCUCUGUAGUCCAUCUCUCCUCUCUUACGGGUGUGUAUGGGACUGACACUUGCAUGGAUGCCAUAGGAUUCUGAUUCAUGUCAAGUUUGAGUUGUUGCGAAUGGCACAGCCGUCAAGUUUUGCCACUGAUGCUUGGUAAUCUCCUCUCUGUGCUUUUCUACAGCUCUCUUCCUUGUGUCCAGUAUUGAAACCACACGCAAACUGUAAACAAAUAAGUAAAAUGCACCGUUUAUUUACAACUAAAAUAAACAGAACCAUAAGUCUUUAAGUGUACUGUGAGUUUUGUUACUGUACGGAUACGGUCAUGUGGUAUGAAGGGUACAAACUAAACCGAUGCUGAGGAUAUGGGGCGGGAAUGGAGCUGUUUCUUAUAAUCUGUGUUAGGCUGUUUUUACUGCUAACCAUCCUAGAAAUUUUUUUCAAGGUCAUGUAAACACCAGUGUGACAUUCUGUGGAUGACACCAUAUAGAGAUUAACCAUUCUUUCUUUGCAUUUGAUUAUUCUGAAGAACGAGCGCAGUUCUGUUGUUGCAGCAGAUGCUCUAGCUGUGAGUGAUUACAUUUCUAAGCUGCUUUGAGGUCUGUCUCCUCAUUUUGUCUGCCUGUGUUUGUGAAAGUCCUGUAUCAAGCACUAGCAGAAGUACAAGAUCAUGCACAUGUACUUUCUGAUGAAAUUAUUAUUGUCUAAGCUGUGCACAAGAUUGUCGUUAAAGGAAUGAACCUGUUCUUGAAUGGCUCUGUAACUUCAACCAGGUAAAUGUGAACCUGGCCAUGGGUGUCCAAGACAGACUCCAAGUUACCAUUGCCCAAAAGGUGUGUUGAUCACAUCUUUCCAGACACAUCGUGUGGCUCUGAAAUAACUGGGUGGGAGGGGAAGAGCUAUUAAGUCUGUUGUUGCUAUCAGAAGUUAAAAUAUUACUCCAAAACUUCUGGAGCUCAUGUAAAGGUAGACGUGGUUUGGUGUAGGGUGAAAAGUUGACAUUUACAUGUGGUUAUACAUGGCUUUGAGGAUGGGAUAGAAGGAGAAUCAUCAUGAUGAAGAAGGGGAGAACUGUAAAGGUAGCAGAAGGCUCAUUUUCAUCCUGUAUAAUGUGCUUUUUUUUACGACCCUGAAGGGAUCCGUAUUAAAAAAACCCAGAAUACAGGUUAUUUGCUUUUCCAUUUGAUUUGAUCUACUGUUUCUUAGCAUUUUACCAAUAUUAUCUUUCCUGUUAAAUGUUUUCUUGUGCUUGCUUUAGUUAUGAUCUUGACGUGUGCAGGGCCUAAGGAAGAAUUUGCUUGCAGAAGGUUAAUGUCUUCAUGAUUUUGUAACAGUUUGUCCUUUAUUCUGACUGCAGACUGUAAACAAUAUAUGGCUGCUUCUGUUGUUUGUUAUUCCAUGUUCCUUAGUUUCACAUGUUUCUUAAUCACAGGGCAUUACAAUUUAUUUGAAUUACUGUAAAAUUUGAAUAUUAUGUGUGCAAAAAUUGGGUAUUAGCUUAUUGCAGUUUAAUGCAUCCCUGGAAGUGCUCUGAUGCUUUGUGGGCAGGGUAAAUCAUCGCAAUGUUUGGAUGGUGCUCGCAGUUUUGGCCUUUUGCUGCUGUAAUCUCAGAGUUGCUUCCCAUAGAUAGAAAGAGUAGGAACUUCUGAUAUUUUGACUUGCUUCUUUCCCUCCCCAAUACAAACAGCAAUUAACUCGCUCUGCUUAGUAUACUAAACUGAAGCACUGUAAUUAUUCACUUCCAUAGGGUAGGAUUUGUCCAAUCUUUCAAUGAGUAUCUUUAUAUGUUUGUGUAAAGGAAAAGAAAGAAGAAAGGCUGCUGGUUAAACACCAGAAUUAAAGGCAGUGCCUGCAGGUGCCAGCCCUCUGGCCUUGAAGAGGUGACAUUUGAUUAUCCUCAGUGUGGUUAUAGUUAAUGAUGUGUCUCGGGAGAAAAUGAAGGCGAAGACUGCUCAGUGUUAUUAGCUGUAACAGGACACUAGCAUUGGUUUCUAUCCGGUAGUUUUCCAAUUAAGGGAAAAUGGUGUCAUUAUAAGUUGGUGGCAUUUGAAACAAUUGGAGUUGGUAUCCAUAGUAUCAUCGAAUCGUGGCAUUUACUCUGCAUGGAGCAAAUAGAGAAGCCGACCUUCUGUGGUGCGGGGAAAGUCGGAAAUGCAGAAGUAAACAUUUUCCUAUUUAAAUAAAUCAUGGCUGGCUAAAUCAAACAUGCUGUGAAUCUCAGGAUUUAUCGCUAAAUCCUGGUAGGGGUUCUCUUUCAGUUAAACAGAGUUUAAAAGUAGAUGACCUAAAUGGUGCACACUGUUAUAAAACAGAAACAUUUCCUUUUUCUCCUCAUUCCUAGAUGAAUUUGCAUUGUUUCUGUGAAGAGUGAAACUGUCUCACUGUGCAUUCUAGUAUGGAAGGUGGAGUAGAAAUGGCAUUUGUCUUAUUUUUAUGGGCCAGAUUUCUGUGCUCAGGAACUCAGGGGACUGAGGAAAAGCUGCUGAUCUGAGGGCAUUGAGGGGAAGAGUUUCUCCUUUGCCACCUUCAGGCACUUGCAUGUAUUAGAUGCAGACUAUUAUGUUUUUUCUUCUGCAAUGUAGAGUUCUCCUUUGCAAACAUAUUCAGCUCCUACAUUCUUUCGAGUGGUUUUACCUAAAAAGGUGGGUGAGGCUUCAGUUUUGCGGAGCGGCAACUGACUUGCCGUUAUUUUCAGCACGUGUUAUUUGCCCUCUGUAACUGGUGGUGUGCAGUCAUUAAACAGCUCAGAGCAGCGUGUGUGUGGAUUCUUUAGCUUGGAUGGUAUGGGUAUGGAUUUUUAUGUGCUGCUAGAUGGAGCAAAAACCAGUUCAACUGUGAUAAAUUAGAGACUCAUCUCCCAAAGCAGGCUUUAAAAUGACUCGAACUAGCUGAAGAAAAAGGUUGUAUAACAUGGGGAGAAGAAAUAAUCUCAGAUCCUGAGCAUGACCGAGAUCAAGCUUUUAAAUUUAGGGUUUUUUGAAUUUUCCCUUAGCCAUUCCACCAGUUGUGUAUAAUAAUUGAAUGUGAAUUGCCAUAAUUUUCAGCAACUCCAGAUUCAUCAUGAAUUUGAAUUAUGAAUAUCGCGUGUGGCCAAGGAAGCUCCUUAUUUGAGCAGGUGCCUGGCGAUGGCAGAAUGUGGUGUGCAGAUCAGAAUGUAGCAGCAUUAAAGCAGCGUUUAAGGUGAGGCACCUUGCCAAGUGGUGGGGACUCGGCUGCUCCGUCCGCACGUUCCGCAGACAGCGCCUGGAAAGGCUCAGUCCCCUCGGGAUCCUCCCGUUUGCAAGGGUGACAUUGAUGUUACACAACACCGGUUUGUCAAACAGACCGUCUGAAAGUGCAGCGCUGGGUCCUUUGCCACCUCGGGUACUGAAACAGAGCAGGGAGUUCUCAGGUAAUGUAAACCCAAAACAUCUACACAAGCGUCUGUGAAAGAACUUGUGUUGUUGCCAGCGCUGCAAAGCGGUGGUAGAAUGUUCUCAUUUUCCACUAAUGGAAUAGUUCCUGAAGCGGAAGCCAGAGGGAGCUCCCCGGCAGGCUGUGGCAAAGCUUGCCCAUUCAGUCAGUAGAAAUAUGGCCUGUUCUGUUACCUGAAGAUGAAAACAAAGAGGAGAGCAUCUCUGUUUACUUUUGCAUGCUAUUAGCACUGGAGAUACAGAACCGUUUGAUCCUAUGGAAUGACAUAAUGCAUAUAUAUGCCAGCAUGUCCGAGAACCAAUGUUGUUUACAUGUUUUAUACUUAUCAUCAUAAAUACGUUGUUUGCUUGUGUGGUCUGCCUCUGCCUUUCUCAAGUCGUAAUGCAGAAUAUAUUCCAGGGAAGGUGCGUGUGUUUAACAAUAUAUGAAUAGCCAUAUGCGGUAUCAUACAUCCCACUGUCGGAUGUCUGAGGGUUAUGUAGGAAGGAGUAUAAGAACAAGAUGAGCACACAGCGAUACUUCUCCUAGGCUCCGGUAGCUUUGUAUGAGAAAAUAAUCCAUAGGUGAUGUCUAGUAGGUUUGCUAAGAAAGGAAAGGAAAGGAAAGGAAAGGAAAGGAAAGGAAAGGAAAGGAAAGGAAAGGAAAGGAAAGGAAAGGAAAGGAAAGGAAAGGAAAGGAAAGGAAAGGAAAGGAAAGGAAAGGAAAGGAAAGGAGAAAAGAAAGCAUGAAAAAUUUCAAAUAAAUAGGUGUUUCUGCUGUUAAAGCAACAGAAAUUCUAGUUGUACUGUUCUACUUUUACUGAAUUAAUUAUAAGAAUUCAUUUAAGGGUACCACACCUGUAUUUACAGGGCAUUUGGCUUGAUGCACUUUUUUGCUCAUGUGCAGGUAUGUUUCAUAUUCUCUUUGAAGUUCCCAAAGGUGCCCAGCGGUUGCUCCGGCCGGGCCAGGAACUCCAUGGGAUUGAUCCCCCUCCCGUCUUGCCGCUGAGGACACUGGUCCCUCCUUCCCCUCCGCAGCAUUUACCUGAAUGUGCAGGGGGGAACUCCGAGCUCGUAGGCGCCGGUUCCAGCCUGUGACCAGGGGAUCCCUGAGGCCGAUGUUCUCACAAAAAGGAUAAAGGGGAGACAGAACUUGAGUCAAUCCACAAGGAGAAACAACACCCAGUGAGUUGAGAGGUAGUUUUCCUGCUUAUGUCUGGAUCAAGUCCGGCCUUCUGUUCUCUGCUGCUUGCUGAUCUUUCGUGACUCGGUGCUGCUGCCGUUGGGUUUCCACCCUGGAACACACAGAUGUUCAUUUACUGACCCUGAACAGAGGCUUUGGAGCCUUUCUUGGGGGUGGGAGGGACUCGGAGUGAGUUAUCUCUGUUUUUCACACCAGAAUGUGUACAUGGUCAGAAGGAAACAGUAUCUGUACAGCUAAUAUGUUUUAGUUUGCAUAGUAAGUGUAUAGCAAACAUCUGGGUACUCAUUAAAGAAUGCUUCAUUAAAUAAAGGUGCUAAUAAGGGUGGGAGGUCUCCAAGAUCCUGCUCAGUACGGCUGCUUCAUGCUCAGCUAACAGCUUGAUCUGCAAUUAAUGUUUUACCUUAGUCAUUGCUAUAAAAUAUGGGUGUUGCUGUUUUCCCGUUAGAGCUGGGGCUAAGUUAUUAGAAAAUCUGAAAAUAACUACCUGUAUUUACUAAACCAGCUGAGCAGCUGAAAUUUCAAAUAACCAAAGCCCAUUUCUUCCUACAGUUACGUUUAUUUCCAUAUUCAAGGGAAAAAUUGUACACAAAGUAUUAUUAAUGAAAAAUAUGUCCCUUGCUAACUUCAAGUGUUUCAAAGCAAAUGCUUUUGUUUCCACACCCAUUAGAGUUCUUUGGGUUUGUUUUUUAGUUGUUAUUUGUACUCUCUUUGACCUUUAGUGAUUUUUGGUUGAUGCAUUUGUAGGAAAAUGCAGAUAAUCAACACAAUUUAUGAUCCAUUUAUGUAAGCAUUCUUUUUUUCUGAGUAAAUUAUGCCACAUCACGUUCCCCUCUGCGUUUUUUCUUUCCUAGCCAAUCACUGGAGCAUUGCACACCUGAAAAUCAGGUAGAAUUGCAAUCUAUCUUGCUCUUUCCCUCAAUUAAAUUCAUCUUUAUGGAGAAUUCACUUAGUUGUAAUUGAUAUUUUAUAACAAGAUUUUGCCAGGGGCUGGUGUAGCGCAGAUAAUUAAUCUCAGUCAGGAAAUGUUGCUCAAAUAAUUUUCUUUGGUAAUCCCACAAGCAGCAUUAUGAACCAGGUGACACGUGACAGUGCGGGGAACGGGCAGGCAGCCCACAGCUCCGGCUCUGCCGUGCAGCAGAUGUUUCUGACAAACAAGUUUGUUUGCAGCUCGGUCACGAGGUGUGUGAUUCAAGCCAUUUUGCUCGCCGUUGUUCUUUGUUAGCGGGCAAGCUCUCAGCUGCCUGCGGAAGCCUCCAGAUUGCUCCUGGGGCUCUGGGGUUCAGCGUGAAAUCGAGGUGCUCUCCACCGCCAUUCAGCAAUUCUGGAGCCUGCAGAGACAUGUCUUCUGCUUUAUUAUUGAAGGCUCUUUUAAAAAUGUAUUUUCUUCUUGAUUUUGGGAAGCUUAAUGAAAAUGUUUCUUUUUGCCACCACAUGAACAGUAGUAGCUCUCCCUGCAAAUUGCUUAGUUAACUUUAGUGCUUCAAGACAAGAAAAUAGCCACUGCUUUAUAAAAUAAAACCGAAAAUGACUAAUAGGCAUCGUCAACUCAUUUAACAUUUUGCAUCAAAGACUUAAUGAUGAUCAAAGAGCCAACAAGGGAAACAGAGCUGUAGGUGUGUAAGUGGAGCAGCAGGAACCCUAUCGCUUCAUUGCAGAGGAGGCAAAAUGAAUCCUGAGCUUUGCUUUCAUGUUUCAUUAGGUGCUUGUCACAGCCACAAAACCUAGGCCAGCUUGAGGAAGUCCCUCGUUGGCUUAGCCAUGAGAAUGGAGAAAUCUGGGAGGCAAUUUUCAUUAGUCUUCAUGUAAGAUGCUUUAUCUGUCCGAACCUGGAGUGGUACAAGACGCAGCAGUGGAGGCUGCAGUGUAGACGAAGUGCUGCCAGCUCUAGCCAGAUGUGCAAGUGUCUGCCAGUUGUUUGUUUCAGUGAAUUCUCUGGUACUGAAAAGUUAAAUGCUAUAAUAGUCUUUGGGUAAUAAGUGUGAAAUUGAAGAAUGGGGAAGAUUCAUUUAAAGCUUACCCGCUUUAGGUACUUUGACAAUUUCUUUCCAUGUUUUGUGUUUUGAGGGCUUUUCUAAAACCAUUUCACAGCAUCGUGUGUGUAUAUACAGAUGCAGACAGAUAUACAGCAGUCUCCCAAGUAUGGCUGUUCUCCAGAUACAGCUCUACCCAGAUGGCACUCAGAACCUUUGGCCCUCUCAGACGCAUCUGGCACUGCACGGUCUGAUUUCUUGGUUUGCAUUGACGCUGUACUAGCUCCCGUGGGUACAGAAGUACCCCGAACUGCCCUGCUGGAAGCACUGUUUGGAACUUAGAAUGGAUAUGGCAAUCACUUUUGAACUCUGAAGUUAUGUAAAGCAUGUGGUCAUCUUAUUGUGAUUUCAACUGGCUCCUUUUGUUAUGGAAAGUCAGGGUAGUGAAAAUUCUUAUUACAGUAAAUUUGAUUUUUAUUUAUUCUAUAUAAAUGUAUGCAUGCAUAUGUAUAUUCGCACACAAAUAUACAAAAUAUAUAUUUUAAAAAUAUGGAACUUAUACACUCUGGUGUUCGCAUACCCCCUAAAGUUUCUAACUGUUGGACAAGAGCCACUGCGGAUGGGGCCAGUGCAGAGCCCUGCGCCGUGGUCCUGUGUCUGCCCGGCUGGAACCCGGCGCCCAUGCGGGAUCCCUUUGGCACUGUCUCAGAUUCUCAGGUAUGUUUACAAUGCCUCUCAAUUCACUCAGCACACGUGAGCAAUGUAAACUGCCAGUUAACUGGAAAAUCCUGCGUCCUUCCUAUGGCCGAGGCUGCUCUGUAGCUUCCCGUCCCGCUUCCAACACGUGCGCCGCUAACCCCUCUCUUCAUUGUUUUGCCACAGACAUGCUGACGGAGCUCCAGUAGUGCUUGGUUUCCAGUUCUGUAGUGUAGUAGUUUGCUAGUUGCACGUUAUUAUAUUUAACUUAAAUUUGUAAGCCUUUUCUUCCAGAAAACAAUGAUGCUUUUUUAAAAAUCUGAGCCCGUUUUCAGUUCAGUAGGUUCAUAGCCUACAGAAGGAGCAGAAUUACUAAAACAUUUACUGGACAUGUGUAGUGAUAAAAAGGUCGUUUUCCAUGUUUAGAAGAAGCAUCAUAACCUCUGACAGACUGAUGCACUACAAUUUAAAUCAUUGCAUCUGCUUAUGUGGAUACCUCCAUCCAUUUUCUUUCAGAAAUUAUGAAAUCAAUAGAAUAGAUUCCGCUUUACUGAGUAAUAGGGAAACAGCACAUUGAUCACAGGACUUUGAAUCCAUUUAACAGCUUGUGUCAUUCAGUUACAUUUCCUGGGAAACAAAAGGGGCACACAUAUUGAUCUAUAGUAUCUAUCUUGUCAUCUGCUGCUGCUUCUUAAAUGCUAGGUAAUCAAAGAAAAAUAUCACUGACAUGCAGAGAAAUAAUCAUUGAUUGGAAGUGCAUGUGUUGAGGUAGGUUUAAAGUGAGAUGAAUUCUGAAAUUGUAAUCCCGAUGUUUCUGGGCAGCUUUGACGAGCUUUGUCGUGGUACAUGAGAAAUGAGCUUCUGGCAGCACAGACUGUGGCUCGAGCUGCCUGCAGGUGUGUGCGGGGAAAGAUGCUCCUUGGAGCCGUUUGUUUUCCUGUACAUAUGUAACGUUUGCAGCCUGAGGACUGUAGGGAGGUGCCUGCAGCAUAUGGUCACACACAGAAGUACUUCAGCUGCAGACUCUCAGAGCGCUUGUUCUGAACUGUGGAUUUAAAAUCUGCUGAUGUGAGGAUGAGAAACAAAUUGUUUCUCUAGAAACUAAGAUGAAGAGUGGAGCAAAGUCUGCCGGUGAACCAGUCCUGUGCUGCAGCCACGUACUGCUCCACACCAACAGGUCUUUUAGGCUUUGAACUGUCUGCAAUCGUAAUGUUAAGUAUGUAUAAAGGAGAUAUACCCAACAGGAAUGGUCUCUGUGUUCACGGAUGAAGUUGUAAGUCUCUGCUCUUAGGAUAUAAUGUAAUGGGGCCAGUUUGGUGUGUUAAUUUUCACAUUCAAUGAUUGUUUUUUUGCUUUGCUGUAUGACGCUUGCACAGAGCUGCUGCUGGCUGCUUGAGGAGGGCAGUACUCUCACUAUAUAGCUCUCAAAAGGACACAUGAUAUCCAAACACAUUUUAAAUUAACCAUUCCAUUUUAGGUUUACUCAACAGCCUUUGUUUUCUGUUAUUUUUCAGUCAAGUAUUCUGAAAUGCCAUGCAAGGACACUUGUAGAAUUUAGAUCUUUGUGGUACCUGGGUGGAUACUGGUUUGGGGACUUGUGCAGAGAGUGUCCUGGUGUCUACUGAAGCUUCUGGGCUUUCUCCCUGUGGGAGGAUUUUCUUACCCUGGGUGAGCAGUCACACACAGGACAGCAGUGUGCCUGACUUGGUUACUCCAAGUGCUUAAUUCGCAGUAAUCAAGAAACCUUACACAUAAUGUUGAAGCGGUUUCAGAUUUGUGACUCUCAGGAACAGCGCUGUCCUUGCAGAUGAUCCGCAAACAAAAAAGGAAAGGCAGCUGCUUCUGGCCACAACAGACAAAGAUGAGAAGUUUGAAUGGAGAGUCAGUUUGUCCAGCCAUAUUAUUAAACAAGAUGUUUUCAAACACUUCAGUUCUCAAAUUACAUUAACAUGCUGGACCUUUGCCUCACGGAGGAUUAAACAUAGAUCUCGAAACUUUAAUGUCUUCAAAUUGAAUUAUAUACAAUUGGCUGCUGCUAUCAGCAACACAAUUCCUUUUCCUUCUUUGGAAAACCUCAAUUCCCAUGUUGUAUGUAUGGCUGGGGUUGUUUUCAUGGCUCUAAACUCGAGCUGCAAAUAGUAGUGAAGCUUGUUAAUAAACAUCUGAUCUUCAUGGAACUCUGGGAAUAAGUGGCAUUUAAAUAAUAGGCUUUACUUCUAACAAACCCCAGACUGCAUCACUGCGAUGUUUUAGUAUGAAAUCGGUUCUUCUGGCAAGACGUCACCUUGAAAAACAAUGCUGACUGACUUUCCUUUGGAAAACCCGGUAGAAGGCUGGGGUGCCUAAAAACAGGGCACGCGGGAUCGGUGUGAGCUCUGAAGCUGCUUCGUAUGGCAGAGUGGCGGAGAGUCUGAAACAGCAGGGCCAUUGGCCUUUACGUGUUAUCGCUGGAGUUAAUGCAGCUGGAGGGAGUUCUUUCAAAUGAAUUUGUCAAAUAACAUCUUCCACUGUACAGUGUGUUACUACAAAACUGAAGUUAGAGCACUUCUUGAAAUAUAAACUUCUCCACGUCCCCCAUUGUUACUCUUGCCAGUUGCUCUAGGAAUCCAGGCCCCAACUUUGUAAGUAUGAACUGAGUUUAAUAUACUUCUGUUGCCUCUGUACAGAAAUUCAGUUUUACUUUUGCACAGCAUUCUCAAAUUAAUAAAGCCAACUCAGCUUCCUAAUCUGACUAUUUUCUCUAGAUAUUUCCUAGAUAUUGCUUUUCUUAUAGAUUUAAAAUCUCUUUGAGAUACUGUGAUUGUAUUUUUAUUUGGAAAGCAUGUUAUAAAACGAGGUGUUUGGGCAUUCUUCUGUGCUGAACAGUCCUGGAAUCACGGCAGAACCCCGGGAGGCAAAGAGAAGCCUCCUCAGGGAGGAAAAAAGAAAGCAAGCUUGUGUCUAUAGGUUGCACAGGGCUCAAAUAAAAUUCAGUUACAUUUCUAGUAUGCCAAGUAGAAAAAUGUGGUCAGAGUUUUCCUAAAGCUCUUGUUUUCCUCUGAUCUGUUUCUGGCUUUGAAGCAAACCUUUUGGUCACUGCACCGUGUGGUGUCUGGAAGAGAUCCAACAAAAAUCUCCCAUCGAUCAGUUGUUUUUCUGAACAAUCAGUUGCCUGCUUAGGUUUGUAAUCCAGCUUCAGCUGGUAGACCUGGGACAAUGAGCUGAACUCCUUGAACAGGCAGGACGGGCUUUCCAUGCGCAAAACCUCCAGAGCCAGCGCAACUCUGCUCAGGAAUCGGAGUCAUUCAGACCCCGAGUCAGGAGAGCUUUUUAUUUCGAAGAGCAGCAUUGAACAUGUAUUUAAGUACUCUGCUGUCUAAAAGGUUCAUUAAAAUAUUUGGAACACAAAGUAUGAAAAGAGAAAAUUAGAAGCAGGAAUUUCAAUGGUAUUCUUUAAAAUUUCUAGUCCUUCCUUCUGAAUGCUGCCUUUUUGUAUGUGAGCACUGCCCGUUAUGUCAGUAAAGCUAUAUCUGAAAGACAGGCUUAAUUUGAACUAUAUUUUCAGGUUUUGUUCCAAUGCCUGAUAUCAACUGAGUGAUUAGUCCUGGCCUACUUACCCACGCAGUUCCGCGGCAGCCCCUGCGGUUGGGCUGUUCUGCGCGGUUCAGCCAGCCAGUCAUGAGACGCCUUUUCUGAAUUGAAUCCCGGUGUGGACGUCGCUGCCGGGAGCAGCGCAGGUUUCCAGGAGCAGCAUCCCUGUUGUGAGAUUGCAGCGGGACCCCAGAGACCUCAACAACACCAGGGUCAUGAGUUGGUGGCAACCGUGACUCAGAAGAGCCAUCCCACAUGAGAAAAUCAUCCGUCCAGGCCAGUAUCUUGUCUCAGACAGUGGUCCAUGGCCUUGCCAAGGUCAAUAGACAGGAAGAGUAAGGCAGCAUGCUGUUAUACAUGUCUGCCUUCAGUUCUUGAAGAUAUCUUGAUUCACUUGCAUUGCGCUAAUUAAUGCAGGGUACAGCUGCAUGGCUGACAAAUGAUUCUCCAGCCAGAAAAGACACCGCAGCAGAGCUUCCAGCCAUGUAUCCGUCAGAUGCCUCCUCGUUUCUGGGAGGAGCUCAAUCUCUUCAUUAGUUUCUGGUCUGUGAUAUUCAAAUUAGAAUUUCCCACAGCUUGUUCCUUAAGGGCCAUUUGUUUGGGACGUGAGGCAAAGGGCUGCAUAACAAGAGCCAGUGCUGAACUGCCAGCCACUGGGGCUCUUUGGCUCAGGGCUCUUUGGAGUCUUUUUUGGAAUGUGCCCUCCGUGCCGGCGGGGCAGAUCUCUGGGCACAGCCAGGCUCCACUAGUGGGGGCACUGCAUUACUGGGCAGAAUUUAGAUGUGAGAGACUAAAAUUAACGCCAAUGUUACCUUACAAGUUCUAAUUCUGUUAAGUAACUUCACCAUAUUGUGAGUGCUUUGGUGGUUUGUCACUCAGCGACUAAUUAAAAGGGGGCAGGCUGAAGAUGUUCCAGCUCUCUGUGUUGAAGUGCGGCAUUCUGAAGCUGCCGCGGUGCCGUGCAGUGUGUGAUGCUCAGCAAUGGUGCAGCCAAUGUGUGCUGGGUGUCCGGUCAGGCUGCCUGGAAUCCCAUCACUGCUCAUAGGAGUGACUUCCAGCAAGUUCACGCAGAGUAUAAAGAGCUGAUUUUAUGUGAUGGCCAGUGUAAUGGCUGGAAUAUCAUUUCCAGUUUUGUUUCUGUGGGAGGGUGUUAUUCUGGCUGUGAUCCUUCUUUUUGCCUGCAGUGGUUAGAUGCUUCAGCCUUACCGAGCAAAUGGACUAGUAAGAUCCAAAGUGUUCAGCAGCGCGAGGUUUCACACCGUCCUCAAGCAAGGGUCAAUGUUUCCAUGUAAUGAAGCCGCGCUUUGGAAUAUUAAGAAAUCAUUUGAUCCUUUGUAACUGAGCAUGUCACAGAAUCAGCCUGUGAUGAAACGGGAUUCUUUCUUCUGUGUGCUGCCAGUUUGUACAAAGAAGCUGUGACUAGCAGCAACUCACUGAGCAAUAUCUAGCACAGUGUCUUAAAUAUUUAAUAUAUUAUUCUGCCUUCCUUUCCUCGGCAUUAAAAAGGUGCAGUACCAUGCUGCUUCUCGCACCAAAGGUUUGACAGAGCUCAGAACUGUCUUUUCCCUUCACACACAUGCACUCUGAGUUGUCAUUUGCGGAUGAUGCAUCUUUGUACUGUGAUGCUCUGUGGGAAUUUCACUUCUUAGCCAAAAGAUGAUAUAUUUAAACAGUCUUUAUUUGGGAUCAAGCUGUGGAUUUGCUUCAACUACAAUUAUUUAAUCUGCCACCAUUGUGCAUUUUCAUGCCAGAAGAGCAUCUUGGCUUUUCUCAAAGAGGUAUUUUUCAUGCCGUUUGCAGAAUGUCUGCUUAUGAUAUGUAGUUAUUUGUGGCUUCCGUCAGCAAUAAGCGAGGGAGCGCUGUGCUCUCGCGUGUCCUGCGGUUCACAGCUGAUGAAGCAGCCGCAGCCAUCUGCACUGAUGGAACCGGACUGUCCCAUCCAGCCCAGCGCUGUCCCCAGGACGGGGCCUGUCGCAGUGUGCGGACUCUCACAGCAUUAUCUGCUCUGCAUAGUAAGAACCUCUGUGUAACUUGCGCUCCGUCAAGGGAGUUAACAAACACUCUGUAAAAGGUUUAUAUUAUAGCACAAAGUGCUGGACGGCUAGAAUUCCUAUAUUCUGUCUAUGCAGUCAGCAGGAGCGCAGUUCCUAUGCGGCUCUGCACACGGUGCUUACCGCUGUCAAAUUGACAUCUUUCUUAGAAAUGUCUUAAUGAUUUACAUUGUCACCGUUCCAUCCUGAGACACCAAAUAGCUUAAAUUAAGGUCUCUGUCUGUAAUGCAGAUCAAUAACACUCCGUGUCUAUUAUCACAGCUGGGGAAAGCAAGAUAAAAGAUUGUCAGUUCUUCAUUCUCUGCCUUCUCUAUGUCCAUAAGUCAUAAGGAGCUCCAUUGAUGCAGUUUCAGAAGUAAUCUUCAGUAAGAGUGGUUUUAUAUUUAUGAAAAAAAGUUUCUUUCAUCACAAACAUAGCAAAAUAAGACAGAACUUGUGUCAUUGCUCAAGGUACCAAAAAGCUAAUUGUGUGUCUCGCUUAAAUCUGCUAAACCAUUUUGGAAUAUUAGCUUUUAAACAGCCAACUGCUAGGGAACCUGUACCCUUGGGUUGGCUCACUCCCCAACUUAAAUUAGCCCCCUGUAUACACAGUGCGAGUAAGAGGCGUUACACCCCUGGUCUUGCUUUUUGCUUCAGGACAGAACUCUCAACUGGAAUUGUAUUUACUCUCUUUGUCUAUGGAUACCCGAAGCCCACUGAAUCAGACAACAGCUGUCCGAAUUUGAGACUUUGAUUUCUUGGUAAUACUUUUAUUUUCUCCUGUGUAAUACCCUGCAGAAGUGGGCUAUUGGUGAUUUCUGUGCUGGCUGAUGAAAAGAGAUGCAAGCUCUAAGCAAGUUUGUAAUACAGGAGUUGCGUGUAUCCAUAUUUUAGCAUUGAAAGAGGUUGUUAUUACCAACAAUUACACCCAUUCUUCAAGUUUCACACCGACCACGUUAGUGCCGCCUAAUCCCACGGGGCAUAGCCCUGUGUGCCGCGUUUAGUUACAGUUCAUGCAACGAUUCCUCUGCCUUUGCCUGAAAAUGUCAACAAUUUUCAUGACGAAGAGAUGUCAUUUAACUGACUCAUCACUGAAACUGGUGCACUUUUCCACAACUCCCUACCUAAAAGGCCCUUGCAAACUCCAUGGAAACCAACUCAGAUACAGAACAGCCUGCAGGGUUGUUUAGAGCAUUUUUCCCUGAUAAUGCAGGAUAGUUCCGCAGUUUGUUUUCUUCAUAAGUCUUUUAGCUCAAUUUUCAGCAAGUUCCUUGGGCAUAGUUCUACUGUUUGCUGGGGCUUUACUUCAUUUCUUGUGUAUGUACAGAGUGGAAAUUGUACAUAUAUAGACAAAUCCAUUAUAUUUUUAAUAGUGUGUUUUUAAUAGCUUUAUCAUCAGACAGCGCAUAGAUUUAUUUCUGGACUACAAAUGCAUGGAGACAGUGCCCAUUAGGAAACAACAAAUAGGAUUGUUAGACCAUCCUGCUUGAUCCUUUAGAACAGGGCAAUUUUCUUUUUCCUGCCCAGUUAAUUUGUUUAAAAUGAAACAAACCAAAACAACCUUGAAGUAACCUAAAAUAGAUAUAUUUUUAUUGUUCCCGAAACAGGCAUUCCUGAGAUUACUUUGUGUAGAAUGAGAUCUUUUGUUUGUUGUAAUUUAAUGAUACUUUGUGCAGGAUUUAUGUUAUUGUUAUGCUUGAAAUUAACUUUGCAUUUUUGAGCAGUGUUUGGAAAGAAAGCAAAAGAUUUAAAUGAUAUUGUGGAUGUAAAGAAAGAAGGGCAGUGAUUAUAUAAUUAUACUAAACUUAUUCUGUAAAUUUAACAAGGAUUAACUAAGUUUCUGUACCCCAAAUCCGGAUCUUUCUGAAGAUUUCCAAUUUGAUUUCUUCUGUCUCCACUGGCUGUUUUUUCUUGGCCAUUAAACUUUGUUUUUCAUGUUGUCA